GGAUUCUGGUGGGGCUGUCGGCCUGGCUCCGAAAGGGGUCUGGUUAGUACACGCCUGGCCAUCCUCGGGGGAAGCUUUGCUGGCAUUAAGUUGUCGGCGGAGUGACGCUCGUCGUUUACUGUGAACAAAUUAGAGUGUUCAAAGCAGGCUUAGGCCGUUGAAUACAUUAGCAUGGAAUAAUGAGAUAGGACUUUGGUGGUCUAUUUUGUUGGUUUGCACGCCGAAGUAAUGAUUAAUAGGGGCGGUUGGGGGUAUUCGUAUUCAAUUGUCAGAGGUGAAAUUCUUGGAUUUAUGGAAGACGAACUACUGCGAAAGCAUUUACCAAGGAUGUUUUCAUUAAUCAAGAACGAAAGU
This 354-nucleotide ribosomal RNA is filed under the name uncultured marine eukaryote. RNAcentral's name for it is "SSU rRNA". It matches the Rfam family "Eukaryotic small subunit ribosomal RNA", at positions 636 to 990 of the family's 1831-position model. The record is from RNAcentral.